AAUAACUCAUUUUGCAAUGGACAAUAUUACGUUAUCACAGAUUCUAUGGCAACACAAUUUGUAUCAAACCAAAUCCAAUGUAGCAAAAAUUGAAUUUUUCAAAUUCGUCUCUGGUAGAGAUAAUACAAUAUAGCAAACAUCUAAUAGAUCGACAAUACAAUAUAGCCAAAUAUCUAUCGGAUCAACAACCUUUACUGCCUAUGCCACAAACAAUAUGGUCCAGCAUCCAUUCAUGUUAGCAUGAACAUCAUCUACCAAAAACAGCAUCCAUUCAUGUUUGCAUAACCUGAAGAGGCAAUCCUAGC
RNAcentral lists this long non-coding RNA (305 nucleotides) under Setaria viridis. RNAcentral's name for it is "long non-coding RNA (SVIR_LNC007705)". Lineage: Eukaryota; Viridiplantae; Streptophyta; Magnoliopsida; Poales; Poaceae. The record is from RNAcentral.